AUUUAAAUAAUUUAAUAAAAAUAUUGAUUUGUGGAGUCAAAAAUAUGAGAGAAUCCUUUUAAAUU
This 65-nucleotide transfer RNA is filed under the name Lethe dura. RNAcentral's name for it is "tRNA-His". The record is from RNAcentral. Lineage: Eukaryota; Metazoa; Arthropoda; Insecta; Lepidoptera; Nymphalidae.